UUCUCGUCUCCUCUGUUCUCUUCUCUUCUUAUCUAGUCUCUUUGCGUCUCUUUGUGUCUCUGAUGAUCGUUUGUCUCUCUUCUCUCAUUUUCUCUUUUAUAUUCUCUUAUUUUUUCUUACAUUCUCCCAGUCGAUUCUCUUCUUCUCUCCGCUACCUUUCUCUUCUCUUCUUUCAUUUCGUCCUAAGGUAAAACGAAUUCCUCGUGAGAACAGCCGAAUAAAUAUUUCGGCGCUGAAGUCAUUUGGACGGGAUUGUUUUUUUUUUUACCGGGUGACGUCUGUAAUCGUUUUUUUUUUUUUUUAAACACACUAUCACAGUGUUAGAAGCUUCCGGAAUAGCGAGUCUCCGACAGGUUGUUUAUCUCUGAACCUGGAAGAUCGCGUCCUCUCAUCACGGUCAGGUGAUUAUUCGGUAUUCCUCUAUUUGGCCGCAUGUAACGCUAAACGACUGAGGAACUGACCGCGAUACAACUGCCCAUCAUUUAUUUCUAGAAAAUGUUUGAGAAAUGUUUUGGAAGACUGUAAACACGUCCUCUGUGAGGGAGACGAUUAAAGCAGCUCCUUUAAUCAGCCUUGAGGAUCCUGCUUCGUGUGACUGAUUUUCUCUUCUCCCUCCUGCUCUCAGCGUUCGUCCUCCUCGUGUAGGCAGGAUGGAGAUGAAGUCGUGCAGCCCACACGGAGAAAGCUGUCGAGUCGCUCCUACAUCUGUGCGCGAUCCCAGAAGUGCGCGUAGUAGUUGUGGUUGAAAAUAAAUAAAUAAAUAAAUAAAUAGAUACAUUUCCGACACAAGACUGUACGUAAAGUGUCGAUGGAGACGGGAGUACGGCGGAAAAACAGGCCUCCUGUGUGGGGUUAACCCCAUCCGAACAGGGCUGGAGGUCACCACCACGUGUUUCAGACCUAUAUUAAAGGGUUUUUUUGCUUAUUAUUUCUGUAUUAAUUGAUUUCUACACAUUUACAUACUCAUUUACAUACUCAUUUACAUAUAAAUACACAUAAACCUAGCAACAGUGCCGUUUCCAAAGAUCUCGACAAGACCAUCCUCUCUCCUCUCCUCUCUUCUGUUCUAUCGCUCUUCUCUUUUCUGUUCUCUCCUGCAUCUUCUCUCUCAUUUGUUCUCUUAUUUCCCCUUCUCUUCACUUUUAUUAUUAUCUCUCUGCUCCUUUCUUCCUAUCUUCCCUCAAUCCUUCCUCUUCUCUUUUCCCUCUCUAUCUAGUUGUCCUCUUUCUUUAUCCCUCUCUAUCUAGUGUCCUCUUCUCUUUUCCCUCUCUAUCUAGUGUCCUCUUUUCUUUAUCCCUCUCUAUCUAGUGUCCUCUUCUCUUUAUCUCUCU
This is a long non-coding RNA of Ictalurus punctatus (channel catfish), 1331 nucleotides long. The record is from Ensembl. NCBI's taxonomy places the organism in Eukaryota, Metazoa, Chordata, Actinopteri, Siluriformes, Ictaluridae.